This 274-nucleotide ribosomal RNA is filed under the name uncultured bacterium. Its description in RNAcentral is "partial 16S ribosomal RNA". It matches the Rfam family "Bacterial small subunit ribosomal RNA", at positions 523 to 796 of the family's 1533-position model. The record is from RNAcentral.
AUACAGAGGGUGCGAUCGUUAAUCGGAAUUACUGGGCGUAAAGCGUGCGUAGGUGGUCUGUUAAGUCAGGUGUGAAAGCCCUGGGCUCAACCUAGGAACUGCAUUUGAUACUGGCAGACUAGCGUGUGGUAGAGGGUAGUGGAAUUCCCGGUGUAGCGGUGAAAUGCGUAGAUAUCGGGAGGAACAUCAGUGGCGAAGGCGGCUACCUGGACCAACACUGACACUGAGGUACGAAAGCGUGGGGAGCAAACAGGAUUAGAAACCCGAGUAGUCC